AGCAGCGUAGCUCAGUGGAAAGAGCCCGGGCUUGGGAUUCAGAGGUCAGGGGUUCGAAUCCCGGCUCUGCCA
This is a non-coding RNA of Ornithorhynchus anatinus (platypus), 72 nucleotides long. NCBI's taxonomy places the organism in Eukaryota, Metazoa, Chordata, Mammalia, Monotremata, Ornithorhynchidae. The record is from Rfam.